CAGGCUUUACCAAAAAUACCCCAAUUACAACUGAUGUCGCUUGGGGAUGCUGGAACAGGGCUCAGAUUUGCGGUGCUAUAGGUGUCUCCUAAAAUUCUAGGCUCUGAGAUGGAUCUUGACAAUUCGUCCGUUUUGGUCUUAUGAUCGGACUUGGCUAUAACUUGCUUCUCAGCACGACAAGCCAAGGCCUGGAGAUUGACAG
RNAcentral lists this long non-coding RNA (202 nucleotides) under Linum usitatissimum (flax). RNAcentral describes it as "long non-coding RNA (LUSI_LNC000091)". Lineage: Eukaryota; Viridiplantae; Streptophyta; Magnoliopsida; Malpighiales; Linaceae. The record is from RNAcentral.